CUAGAAGUCCAAUUGUAGCAGC
This 22-nucleotide non-coding RNA is filed under the name Arabidopsis thaliana (thale cress). The record is from RNAcentral. Lineage: Eukaryota; Viridiplantae; Streptophyta; Magnoliopsida; Brassicales; Brassicaceae.